RNAcentral lists this ribosomal RNA (254 nucleotides) under uncultured bacterium. Its description in RNAcentral is "partial 16S ribosomal RNA". It matches the Rfam family "Bacterial small subunit ribosomal RNA", at positions 524 to 776 of the family's 1533-position model. The record is from RNAcentral.
UACGUAGGAGGCGAGCGUUGUCCGGAGUUACUGGGCGUAAAGCGCGCGUAGGCGGCCUGCUGCGUCGUUCGUGAAAGCUCCCGGCUCAGCUGGGAGAGGGCGAGUGAAACGAGCAGGCUUGGAGGGCGGUAGGGGCUGGCGGAACGCCCGGAGUAGCGGUGAAAUGCGUUGAGGUCGGGCAGAACACCAGUGGCGAAGGCGGCCAGCUGGGCCGACCCUGACGCUGAGGCGCGAAAGCCAGGGGAGCGAACGGA